AUUUUAAUUUAAUUAAUUUAAAUAAAUAAAUAAUAAACUUAAUUUUAAUUUAAUAAAUAAAUAAUUAAUUUUUACUUAUAUAUAAUUUUUUAAAAAAAAAUUUUAAAUAAAAUUUUAAUCUUAAUAUAUAAAAUUAAUAUAAUAAAUAAAUUUAUAAUUAAAAAUAAUUUUAAUUAUUAAUUAAAUUUGUGCCAGCAAUUGCGGUUAAACAAGUAAUAAAAUUUAUUUAAAUCAAUUCAAUUAAUUUUUUUAAAAAUUAAUUUAAAAUUUUAUUAUAUGAUUAAAUAUUUAAUAAAUAAAUAAAUUAUAAACUCAAUUUAAAUAAAAUUUUAAAUUUAUUUAAUAAACUAGGAUUAGAUACCCUAUUAUUAAAACUAAUACAAAUAAUUUAAGAAAUAAAUGUUUUAUCAUUAAAUUUAAAAAAUUUGGCGGUAUUUUUAUAAUAGAGGAAUUUAUUUAUUAAUUGAUAAUCCACAAUAAAAUCUACUUAAUUUUUAUACUUAUAUACUUCUGUAAAGAUAUAAAUUUAAAUUUAUAUUUUCUAAAAAUAAUUUAAAAUUAAUUAAAAUAUUUCAAGUCAAAGUUUAGUUUAUAAUUAAGAUUAAAUGAAUUACAUUAUAAAAAAUUUAAUUUCUUAAAAAAUUAAAUUUUUAGAAUUUAUUAAUAAAAUUAAAAAAUUAUUUAAUUUGAAUUAAAAAUAAAAAUAUGUACAAAUCGCCCGUCAUUCUUAAACAUAUUAAGACAAGUCGUAACAAAGUAAAAAUACUGGAAAGUGUUUUUAGAAUUUUAA
RNAcentral lists this non-coding RNA (790 nucleotides) under Meteorus sp. 2 XHS-2023a. Lineage: Eukaryota; Metazoa; Arthropoda; Insecta; Hymenoptera; Braconidae. The record is from RNAcentral.